RNAcentral lists this transfer RNA (85 nucleotides) under Firmicutes bacterium M10-2. Its description in RNAcentral is "tRNA-Leu". It matches the Rfam family "tRNA". From Rfam's summary of the family: Transfer RNA (tRNA) molecules are approximately 80 nucleotides in length. Their secondary structure includes four short double-helical elements and three loops (D, anti-codon, and T loops). Further hydrogen bonds mediate the characteristic L-shaped molecular structure. tRNAs have two regions of fundamental functional importance: the anti-codon, which is responsible for specific mRNA codon recognition, and the 3' end, to which the tRNAs corresponding amino acid is attached (by aminoacyl-tRNA synthetases). tRNAs cope with the degeneracy of the genetic code in two manners: having more than one tRNA (with a specific anti-codon) for a particular amino acid; and 'wobble' base-pairing, i.e. permitting non-standard base-pairing at the 3rd anti-codon position. RNAcentral also lists the same sequence under 5 other names. Lineage: Bacteria; Bacillati; Bacillota. The record is from RNAcentral.
GCGGAGAUGGCGAAAUUGGUAGACGCGCUAGCUUCAGGCGCUAGUGAGGCAACUCAUGUGGGUUCGAGUCCCGUUCUCCGCACCA